This 927-nucleotide long non-coding RNA is filed under the name Lathyrus oleraceus (garden pea). Its description in RNAcentral is "Pisum sativum (pea) long non-coding RNA (PSAT_LNC010899)". Lineage: Eukaryota; Viridiplantae; Streptophyta; Magnoliopsida; Fabales; Fabaceae. The record is from RNAcentral.
ACGAAUUCUCCGUACAAUGGAUCUAAUGUGAAUACAAACACUCCUUUGCCUAUGGUAAGAACAAAAAUUACUGAACUAGAAUACAUGCAGUAGCCAGCUGCUAGAAGGUUGCUUCCUGGUUGACACACAUUCACAAUGCACCUUUGUUCUUCUGUGCCAAGCUGCAAUUAACAUAUACAUAUGCACUGUGUUAAGCAAAUUUUUUUAAAAACCACGACAGAGAUCGAACCAGUGAGACUUUCGAAUCAUGAUUCAAUUGGUUCGAGUUCGACCAUGAAGAAACAUUCAAUUCCAAAGUAUCACUUACUGUGUUGUCAUCAGAGUCAUCACCAAAAUCAGGAAGACACUCGUCAUUGGGGCUGUAAAUCCCGAAAAUGGAACCAGUUGAGACUGCAGCAUCAAGAUUGGAUGAACCAUCAAGUGGAUCAAAUACAACAAUGUAGUUUCCUGAAUAACUCUCUUCUACUGCCACUGGCACAUCCUCUUCCUCUGACGCUAUUAUCCCUGUCCUCCCACUUGACCUCAAGCAAUUUGAGAAUACCUAAAUCAAAAUACCGGAAAAAAAUUACAUUGCCUAAUAAUAUUAGUAGCGGAUUCCCUGAGAAAAGUAAUACAAAAACCGAACCAAACAAAACAAAACCAAAUCAUCCCGUUACACUGCUAAGGAUAUUGCGACUCAAACUGAUUUAAAACAGGUAUAAUUAUUCAAAAAAACGAAGGAAAUAUGUAAUUCUGAUUAUUACUAACCUCAUUUGAGAUAACAUCAAGUUUUUUCUGGUCUUCCCCUUGAAUAUUUACAGCACCUUGAGUACCAGUGAGGUUAGAAAUAUUGGCUCUUUGAACCAAAGAAGCAAUUUGUUUACAUGCCAUAGAAAUACUAGAAAGUACAAUAGUAAGUUCUGCAUCAAUAAUCCCUUUUUGUUCUUG